CUCCACAUCUUUGUUUUUCUUGCUCAACGACGGACAUCUUGAACAAAACGCAACAAUUGGUGACCCCGACGUGAUGUCCAGUUGAGCGGUUUUUGGACAAAGAGAGGGAGAGCUUCUUCUGCGGUCUGGAGGCCCGGGGCCCCACCUUUAGAAGGUAAGAAGGCUUUUUCCUUUAUAAACUGUGGCCUCUGCACCAGGAGUCAGCCCAGCCCAACUAGGUAGUCUGUAACAUUCGAUAGCCGUGUUCCAAAUGUAUAAUGGUUUAUUGCUGUGUUUUCACUGCUUUGUGGAGUUAUUCAUGUGCAAGUUAGGCAUCAUUGUUUCAUGUGUUCUGUCUGUGUAAAUAUAGCCAUAUUGUAUAAGCGUCACUUGAAUUGUAGUUCAAGUAGACAUAUAUAAAAUGGAUUUAGUCAUUGAAUCUGAAUUUAGCGGCUUCAGAGUUGGUCCACCUUAUACCAGCAACUGUUGCACUCUCCGACAGUAGUACAGUAUAUGGGUUGGGCAUCAAAGAGUGACUCCUGUAAUCCAGCUCACAAGAUCCGAGGGCGCAUUAAAACAACAACUGCACCCACACGGAUGUGCAACAUUCAUCUGGGGGGCCCCAUUGUGCCCCAACAAAGCCUCGGCGCUAUGUCGCAUUCCCGAAAUCCACGCGCGGAGAAGGAGAGAUAUUUUUCACACCGAGGCACAAAGCCACAAAGCGUCGGUCUGCGUGACUCAUGCGUCGGGAGGAAAAGAGGCUGAGUAAUCACAAUAAUAAGCAUCAUCAUCCUGCCGUCUCGACAGUUGCUGCUCAGCGGGACUCAACAAUACCGGAACCAAGAAUCUGAUAUCACUCGUCGAGAUGAGACAACAUUAAGAUGAAAUCAACUGGCAGUGCUGACUAGGCUAAUAGUCGAGUGCUGCUAAUUAUUUCCAUCUCUCCGCUGGUAAUGGGGUAGAGGGUUUUUUAUUUGGCUGGCUCUGCUCAAGUGUCCUUAUGGGGAUUGACCUGACUGCCUUGCGCUAAACUGCCUGCUGUUGCAAAAUUGUUUUGGUGAAGACACGGAAUGCUGCACUAGGGAGAUAUCAAAGAAAUACUCAAAUGUUUUUUGUUUUCAAAGUAAUGGCGUGCAGAUGUCAACGAGAGCGCAUUUGCCUCGCGAUUAAUAUACGCGUAUGCUAAAGUUGCCGUACCAGUGUGCAGAAACACCAUCCAGUAGUGGAAAAAAUAUUACACGUAAGACUCAAUCAUCCUACAGUGGGAGCUGUGGUUCUCAAAGUCUGGUACUAGUAACACUGGUUGCACACUCUCGUGGUGCGUGAAAGAAUCACUGACUUCAAUAUUGAAAACACAGAUGUGGUUUCAACUCCUUUUCAAUCAAAAACAGUACGUUAAUCACAGUUUCAUUUUUAAGUACAAAAUAUUUUCAUAAAACCUUUCAAAAGUGUUUUCAAAUAUUUAUUUACCUACAAUUGACAUAACUUUAUAUACAACAUAAUUGAGUUGAAUUAUUCGAUAUUUUUUAUAUCAUUAAGGGCAGUGUUAAUGUUCAAAUUGUGCUCAAUGUUACAGUCUGAUAAUAAUUUUAAAUAUUCUUUUUUAGGAUUUCAUGAUGAAUCGAAAAGCCAAGUAUUUUUAUAUGGUACUCGGUGUAAAAUGAUCGUACUAGUAUAUCAACUUUUAGCUGUGUAUGAAAAUUACCGAAUAACGAGUAGCGAACACCAUGAGUAUUCUUUUGUCACAUCUUUUUCAGAGCGACAGAUAUAAUAGAAGACCCAUACUUUUACUGCAUAGAAUUUCUAUUAACGCAGUUUUUAGACAUUUGUGAAACACACAAUGAUUUGUCAAUGUGUUAAACUGCCACAGUGUAGCACCAACACCUCGUGAGAAGGACUUAUAUAGGAUUUUUUUGGCCCUCGGUAUCCGUGCUCGUUCUAUAGCGCGCACGAUUGUCUUGUGAGAAAGCGCUUACUAGUACAUGGACCUCGAAUUGGAUAUCCAGGAUAUCGAAUAAAACUCGAGCAGCUUUCCGUAGUGGCGUAAUGGGCAGAGAUGAAAACUCGAUGUCAUCUGUGACAAGUGUGUAUUUGUGUAUAUGAGGCAGCAGAAGGGAAGCCAGGGGUGCGUCUUAGCUGCCACGAGCUUUGCCUCUUGCCCUGAGAAGCCAUCAUCCAUGAUCUCAUCUAGAGGGGAGGGGAGGGAAAAAUCCCCUGCGCGUCCUCUCCUUCAGCUGCUGAUCUCUCCCUCGGCAUUCCAACUCUCUUAGCAGCUCCCACUCGUACUCUUCUAGGGGAAGAUAGAGCCGGAGAAGCAAAAAAAGAGAAAGUGGUGCUGAAAUCACAGACCCCACCAAGAGGUUGUGGGCAGCUUCAUGUGAUGUCAUCAUCUGCGAAUUUGUUGACAGCAAGAGAAAUGAAAAGAGAUGACUUCAAAAGAACUAAGGUCAUCUCUUCAUGGGAUUUACAUGUUCCUGGUCUUGGAGCUCCUUCGUAGUUUAAGCGACGGGGUGUCGACACACUGGUCAUGGCCUAUAAAUAUUGACAAUCUUAUGGUUAAGAAGUCAGCCAGUGAGGUCGACAUUUUGGUCAGGACGACGUUUCUCUCUUAGGUAAUGAAUCAUGAUGAUUGGUGAUCUCCGGAACUUUUACCUCAGACCACCCACAGUGUAAAAAUGUCCAGGUUUUGCUGGAAAAAUACUGCUGGAUUCCCCCAUGACAGGGAAAUAUCACAACUAAUGGCUUUUUAAUGGGCUAGCUGUAUUCAAGUUAGGAAUGAUAAAGUGAAGGGUGCCGGGUAAUGCACUAAGGUUUCAUCUCAACUCAGUCUGGGCAAAUGUGUGGCCUCAAGGGACGGAUUUUCAUUUUUAAAACCGACAUUGCACAUGUGAUCAUACACUCUCUGAGAAUAUUAUACAACGUUGUUACAGAAUGCACUGAUAAUAUGAGAUUUUGCAUGCGGCUGAUGAUAAAUUCCUUUUUGGUCUUAGUAUACUGUACUUUGCACAACAAAAAGUGGAAUGAGACUGGCUCACAUGUAAGAUAUUUAGCUAUACAAUACAUUUCUAGAAUUAGUUCUGCAGCUGAAGUCAUUGAAGGAAUGGGAUGAGAAUUCUUUUUACUCUGGUAUAUUUUCCAAAUGUAAUCAACAUUUUUUAAUUUAACUUCAUAGGUUGAAAUGGGCAUUUUUAAAAUAAUAAUUUAAAAAAAACUUGAGGUAGGUGAUAAAGGGAGUUUUGCAUGACUGAAAUUUCUCCACACCACUUUCAAGAUCAAACUGGAACAGUCACAGUGUAAAAUAUUUAGCAAUGUGGGGCCAAGUGAGGUGCCCCCCCCCCCCCCUUGGUAUGCACAGCAGUCAACCACAGAGGAAAGACAGUGAAAAAGAAUGUCUGCAGCCCACUCAUUUGGUAACCAGAGCCUUCUGCUGUCUACUCUGACAUCCAUCCUCCUCCUUUGUAAUUGGCCCCGGCGGCAGCCACCUCAACUGAGUAGCACGCGUCCUCUUGAUCCUUUAAAACCACCAAUAGGUUGCCUGCUUCUGCAAACAAACACUGGACGGAUGUGGGAGGAGUUUUACAGAACCGCAGGGCCCGCUGUAAAAGGCAGAGAAAACAGAUGAGUCAAGCAUACAGUCAGCCUUCCUUCCUAUCUGUUUGGUUAUGCCUUUGUGUGUGCGCGCGCGUGCGCGUGUGUGUGUGCGUAUUUGGGCGAUGGCUCUUUCUCACCCAACUGUUGGUGCCCAGGUGACAUCAGCAAUGGGGAAUCUGCUGGCAUCCCUGCACAGUCAGGACCCUGCUGACAUGGAGGGCAGAAGCAAGCCAAUGACACAAAAACACCACGUCAUUGAUAGGUUUUGUUGCAUUUGAUGAGUUACAAUGGUCUCAGCAUCUACCCUUAUAUGGAGAUACUGCAAAGAAAUCAUAGUUACUGUGAUGCCUCGUGAAUUAUGUGUUGUAUUUUAUUACCUAUUGUAUUGGAAAUGAUAUAGCAUAAUAAACAGGAAGAAAAUAGGGGUGGCCUUUCAGUGCAUUAAGUGUUCUUACAUUUUAGAGUGAACAUCUGCAGGCUUUGAUUGACCAAGAAUCAAGUUAGCUGUGUUUACACCUACAAUGGCACAAAUGCCCAUUUCGAUACAUAUCGAUACCAAAAGAAAUAAAAAUCCACCCAUGUGCCACAGUUAGACUUUGCACUAGAUUUGCACUGGGCACCAAGAUAGGGCCUUUACUCAAAAUUCUGGGAUUUGCAAUGUUAUCACGUUUGUCAUAAAAAUCCACUAUCUCUAAUUCUACGUUUUGUGUUUGUGUUACACACCGUUACCAAAAUGUCAAACAUGCAAUUGUUUGCUGCAGUGGGUCAAUUUAAAAAGCCCAGUUUUAGAUAUCACUCUUGUACUGGAUUAUGCAGGUGUCCUUUACUCAGUAGCUGGUAAGAGUCACAUUUUUAUAACACUUGGAGGAUGUUGGACAGUCUGUAAAUAAGCUCAAAGAAAAUUAGGCAUGUGCUUUCAUUACUUAGCGCAUGUAUCCGUUUGUGACGAAGCACACAGGAAGAGGAACUAAAAGGAGACAGGAUGAGGAAAUGGAGCUGGGGAUAUUAGAGAUGUAUGCAGCACAGGAAUAAAGACCAAAGCAGGUAGUGGACAGGAAGUGACAGGAAGUCAUCUUUUCCGUCUCACGUUACUGCUGACCUUAUCUCGCUCUUACUCCUCUGUCGCUUUGUCAACCUCAGCGUCCACGUGCUCGUCCAUUGAGCGCGUACCCUUUUCGGUCACGCCAUAACGGCGGCCAUGUUGUCACCACUUCAUCCAUCAGUCCUGGGUGGCUUCCCUUUGGCAGCAGCAGCAGCUGCGAAUGGGAACAACCACUCGCCCUUUACGGUAAAUUCAAAAUUUAAUCACCUAACAACAUCAGCUCCUGUUGAUGAGGUGCGGUAAGAAAAUAAUUGCGUUUCCAACUGUCGGCGUACGCACUUCCAUGGAAAGCACCCAUUGUUGCCUCUCGGCAGGGCAGGAAGCACCUUUCCACAACAAACUCACCAUCCUCACUGAGACCGAAUCAAGUCCAGCCACUGUCUACUUAAUUAUACUUUGCAGAGUGAUCUUUUGAUGGCGCCUUAGCUUACUUUAGAAUCUUGUGAGUUAGCCAGCCAAUCUCAGUGCUGACCCAGGCACGGAUGAAUAGUAAGGAAGGUCAUCACCUGUUUUUAUUCCGUCCAUCUGUACAUGCUGAGAAAAACUCUUUGGAAAGACAAGGAUGAUCAUGGGUCAAUGAUACUACGGUGAGGCCAUGGCAUCACCAGAAACAUGCUAUCUCAUUCACAACCCAGACGGAGCAUAUUUUCACACUACAGUGGAACCUCAAAGGUGGACAAUUCUUCACAUAGAAAAUCAUGCAAACAAAAAUUGCACUGCAAAGGAAAAAAUCCAAAAAUGUUCAACUGAAUUGUUGGAAUCCAGGGGUACUGAAUUUCUUGCCUGACAGUUUACAGUGCCUCUUGUAAAUGUAAUCACAAGUUCAAUGUUACAUACCCCUGUGCUUAAGAAACAGAACAGAGCGAACGUUCUUCUCUCAGCAUUCCGUCAUCCCGGGAAUAGCAGCUAUGCGAGCAUGACGGCACGACACUAUUUCGGUGUCUUUGCUACUUGACAUUGAGGGGACGGGAUUAGGUGGCUUGACUACUGUAAGUGACCAUCCCCUGUCACACAUACACGUAUGUGCAAACGCUAAUGCGCAUUCAUGUCACAAAUUAGUCUUAGUUUGAGUUUAAAUGUUAAUUUUUAAAGGCAAUUUUUUUGUUACUCAUCCAUUUCUUUGUUAUCCAAGAUUAAGGUAUUGACAGUAGGUUAUUUUAGCAAAUUCGUAUUCAUUAGAAUAGUGUGUAGACGACUGGGGGCACAAGGAUAAUAAUUACUAUAACAGCGAUGCGAAUUUGGUUUUGCUCAUCUAUGCCGUUUUGUAUUAUACGUCAGCAUUAAGCUAGUGGACUUUUGGAAAAGAACAUUUUAGUGUGGUUGAAUGUACUGGUGUUUCGGUACCGUAUGUAAUUUCUAACCCUUUUGCUUUAUGUACUUCAACUAGGGGUAAAAAAUACAUCUUGACGCAAGCACACUUGCCUCUUUAUUGGGCAAUUAGGCAAGAGAGAGUCUCCUUUUCAUUUUCUUAAGUUUUGUUGAAGUGGUUGCCAUUUUUUGCAAACAGCCAGAAUAAGUGCAAAGGAACACUUUAAAAGUAUAUUUUAAAGCAUUAAAAUGUGCUCAAAGGAUAUAAAAGUCAUUUUUAUUCAUACGAUACUUCGAUAGUGCAGACUUUCACGUAUCUUGGUUCUGAAAUGUAUUCCCUGUGAUAAAUGGAGAUUCACUGUCAAAGCAUUUGAAUAGGUUGAGGCACCAUUUUAUUUGAAAUGUGACAGAAUAAUGAGUAAGGAAAUGAAGGGCUUGAACAUACAUCUUCCCUGCGUUUUUCUGAGGAAGUACUGCGGCUUUUUACAUAUAAAAGUUGGGUUAACCCUCACCAGCAAAGAAAGCCGACACACACUCACAUACACAAGCUGUGUAACAACUUCCGUGUAGGAGGUGACUUCAAGGGGUGAGUCACUUUCAGCUUGCCUUUGAGCCCAGCUGGGUCUUUCGGGUGUCCUCGAACCUCAUUAAAACCGCGUGUGCCACAUACAUGACAGCAUUGUUGCAUCCUGCGACUAUUUACUGCAUGUGGUUUCUGUGAACCCCAGUGGCAUCCAGGGGCGGCCGAGGUCUCAGAUGUUCUCGCUGGUGCCGUGUCUUUGAACAUGACAUCUGUUGGGUUGGCCAUAUGCGUAACUCUGCGAGCGUGUAAACUGCUGUGUCCACCACAUUGUACAUCUGUUGAAAAUGUUCACAUGGCUGUAAGGUCUCUCAUUGAUCAGUCAUGAUGACUUUGAUGAUGUCGGCAAUCUGCAUUUCAAAUUUAGGCUAUUCAUUGAAAAUUGAGAUACAUUAACUCAUCAGUACCAGCCCAGUUCAAACCGAUGUUUGAUGUCAAGAGUCGUCAUUGGCAGUGAAUGAGUUAAGUUAAAAGAAAACGAAGUAACUGUCACCUAAAGCUAAAAAUAUUUGUUUCAUAAUCAUUUCCUGCAGGCUUUAGUCAAUAGGGUCAGAAAAUAGGUAAUGGGCGGUUAAUUAUCAUUUUGUAUGUUCUUUUUGAUGAAAUGGACGAAUGAUGAAGUGACCAGACUGUUCCCAGACUGUAAAAGUCAAGUUUAAAGGCUAAAUAAACUCCAUACAGCUUCAACUCAACAUGUGUGCUUGCCUCAGGAGACUGCAGGAUGCAGGUGCUUCAGAUAGGAAAUGAAAAUAUUGUGUUUACUAUUAAUAAGACUCAAGCCUGUUGGCUCCAACAGAACAGCUUGGCGUAAUUCAUCAUGAGCCCGACGAGACAUUUUAAAAUAUUACAAUAAUGUGUGUUAGCAGAGUCCGGAGGUGAAACCAAGAGCUAAAAAAAAAACCCUUGACCUUACUUAACUGAUGACUGAAACACAAUGUCAUCAUUGUUCCAGUUUGUAGACUCCUGAGUAAAUGAAGAUGCAGCACACAGGCGUUAAGAAUUUGGAUCGUUUAUUUAAUUAAAUCACAUUUUUAAAAAACAAAUCACUUCAGAACUGCAGUUUUUGAAAGCGUCGAACACUUGAAUUCACAUUUUAUUGCUUGUUAUUGUAAGAAUCUCUCUUUAAAUGAUGGUGAGACGUGGAUAAUAACAUGGGAUUUACAUCAAAAUUGUUUCAACAGUUCCAGGUCCCAAAUGUAAUGUUGGACUCCCUUUUGAAAGUUUCAUCACCAUUUUGGCACUCAAUGCUCAGACGCAGACAACUCUGAGGGAAUUCAUCACCAAUCAACCCUCAACUGUCCCAUAUUGAGCGGGAUGCCGCUAAGAUUGUUUUCAGUGAAAACGACAGUUAAAAAAAAAAAGAAAAGAAAAAACUAUUAAGCAGUAAAAAACUUCUUUUUUUUAAACAAAAAAACAUUACAGUGCUACUGAUCAUGCUCUGAGUGCCAAAAUGAAAUCAGAAUGUGUUAUAUUUUUCGUAACACUUUUUGUGUCCAGGAGUUGCAAGCAUUUGACUUUUUUUUAAAUAAAUAAAAUCCAAUAAGGAAUAUAAAAACAACUGUAACAUCCACUUUAAACUGUUGGAGGUUAAAACUUACAUAAAUACAGUUAGCUUAAAUAAAUAAAUUAAAAAGUAUAAAUAUACUGUUUACUGUACAGAAAAAAAAACAAUGCGCUUGUGCGGGAAAAUAUAAAACGUUGCCUAUUUUUUUUCUUUGUUUUUUGCUGUUUUAAAUGAUUCCAGAUUGAGCUCUUUCUUUGUUGAUGUUGAAUCAGAUUCAGUUCAGUCUGAAACUUCUUUUCACACAAUCAGGAAGCAGCAAAUGUUCCUUUCACUUCUUCUACUUCUUGUCUAGUGCUUGCCACACUUCCAUUCCAGUCCAUCCCCCGACCCUUCCGAUAUUCCACCUUCAGAUGUGGCUGUCUUCUUCUCCUGGGGCCUACGGGGAUACGCUGAGCUGUCCAUUUGUAUCUUUUUUUUACGUGAACAUCCAGCUAGGGUUGCAGCGGACGCCCCCUGUUUCCCUUCUUCAUCCGUCUGUGUUCCUUUGCUUUUCACCAGGACCUCCUUCUGUGGUUCACUUCUUUUUCUAUUUUGAGGUAGUAUCGCCGCUUCUUUGCCUAACACGAGAGGAGAAAAGACAGCAAACAAUGAGAUAAGCAUUGCAAUUUAUACAAAAACGUGGAAGGAAACGUGUGUCAUUGUGAGAUAUUAGCCCUGCGCUUCACGACACUAUCUCGUCAAUUUAUGUAUCUUGGGGAAAAAUAUAGACCGGGGUGGUGAAACUUUUUGGCAUCAACAAACACAUACUUCUUCCUGGUUAAAUGAUUUGGAACGUUUUAGUAGAGUUCCUCCAACGCGCCAUUUGGUUUUAGAUUUAAAUUAUGGGCCAGGCCAAAUUCCUUCUCAGUCUGUAUUGUGUAUGGCCCACGCACCAUAGGUUUCCCAACCCUUGAUGAGCAAAUCGAGGCCCGCAAAACACAUGGCGUAAAUUAUACGCGAUUUCUCGCUAUU
This is a long non-coding RNA of Syngnathus typhle (broad-nosed pipefish), 9075 nucleotides long. RefSeq lists it as uncharacterized. The record is from RefSeq and is a predicted model, not a curated record. The transcript is spliced from 2 exons. NCBI's taxonomy places the organism in Eukaryota, Metazoa, Chordata, Actinopteri, Syngnathiformes, Syngnathidae.